Molecule: transfer RNA, 88 nt
Filed under: Deltaproteobacteria bacterium
Lineage: Bacteria; Pseudomonadati; Myxococcota; Myxococcia
Description: tRNA-Leu
Rfam family: tRNA
About the family: Transfer RNA (tRNA) molecules are approximately 80 nucleotides in length.
Source: RNAcentral
GCCGGGGUGGUGAAAUAGGUAGACGCAGUGGACUCAAAAUCCACCGGGCCUUGCGCCCAUGCGGGUUCGAUUCCCGCCCCCGGCACCA